CUUGCAGUGGGUGCUGGAGGGUGCUUUCCUAGCCGUUCCAAGCUUUUCAGUUUCCAUGGAAAUAAAGAAGAAGCAUAUCUUUUAGAGUGACAUAAACAUUUGAUCUUCCCAAAUGCUGGUUUAUCAACUUCUAAAAUUUUUAAAAUUACACCGUAUUUCUUUGGUGUCUAGUAAGAGUCAUGAAUGCUUGAAGUUGGAAGUCCACUUGCCCAGUACCAUGUACAGAUUAUUUUUGCGUAUCUCCAAGAAUAGAAACUCCACAAGCUUUCUGGGUAACCAGUACAGUUUCUCAAUUAUCCUCAUAAUCAAAAGGUGUUUUCUUAUUUUCUGAUUUAACAUUCUGUAUUUCAGUUUGUUCCCCAAACAAUCUAAAGGUCUUUCUCUUUUCUUCUUUACUUACAUUUUUCAAGUAAAUGUG
Lagopus muta (rock ptarmigan) is the source of this 418-nucleotide long non-coding RNA. RefSeq lists it as uncharacterized. The transcript has 3 exons. NCBI's taxonomy places the organism in Eukaryota, Metazoa, Chordata, Aves, Galliformes, Phasianidae. The record is from RefSeq and is a predicted model, not a curated record.